RNAcentral lists this transfer RNA (84 nucleotides) under Coxiella sp. RIFCSPHIGHO2_12_FULL_44_14. RNAcentral's name for it is "tRNA-Leu". It matches the Rfam family "tRNA". Rfam says of the family: Transfer RNA (tRNA) molecules are approximately 80 nucleotides in length. Their secondary structure includes four short double-helical elements and three loops (D, anti-codon, and T loops). The record is from RNAcentral. Lineage: Bacteria; Pseudomonadati; Pseudomonadota; Gammaproteobacteria; Legionellales; Coxiellaceae.
GCCGAGGUGGCGGAACUGGCAGACGCGCCGGACUCAAAAUCCGGUGAUGGUGACAUCAUGAGGGUUCGAUUCCCUCCCUCGGCA